GCCGAUCAGCUGAUCUUCUAUGAUUUGCAUGAUUGUUUAUUUUUAACUAACUGAGAAGAUGUAAGGACGUGUCAAACUGAAUUUAACAAGUAAAAUGAUAUUUUGUUCAAUUACUUGGGUAAAAUAUUAAUCGUGAAAUUUAGUACUGUGUAUAUACAAAUUCAUAAAGUGUUUCGAUUUCAUUCUGCAUCGAUACACACACAAUUGUGCACAAUUGCACAAUACACAAGUGUCUAUUUGUACGUGUCAGAGAUCACACCAAAAGUAACACGUAUAUUUUAAAUGAGAUGGCUGUUUUAUUGGCAUCGUUACCUAGCGCAAAAAGGACCACGCAAAUCAGAAAUUUGCGGCAAGGCAGUGUUAUAGAUCUGGAUGCUGAUACGUUUCUCAAGAUAUCCAAUUAUGAGGACACUGUUAAACAAUUGGACAUAUACUAUGGAAUAGUCAAGAGACAAUUAUUGCGUUAUCAGAGUUGCAUAACGGGUCUAUUUCCGCAGAUCACAACUGACAAAAAGGUUGGUAGCGUACGCGAAAGUAUAUAUUGCGCUGCUGCGAUAUGGAGUCUGUAUCAAGCGUACAGGCGCAUCGACGACGACCGUGGGAAGUCGUACGAACUUGGGCAGUCCGCGAUCAAAUGUAUGCGAGGUAUUCUGGAGUGUUGGGUAAAACAGUCCUCUAGAGUGGAACUCUUUAAGAGAAAUCAGUGCGAUCGUUUUGCAUUGCAUUGCAAGUUUCAUUUGGAGACAGGCGAUGAAAUUUACAAGGAUGCUGACUAUCAUCACUUGCAAAUCGAUGUUGUGUCCCUUUAUUUAAUAUUUCUGGUGCAAAUGAUCUCUUCUGGCUUGCAAAUUGUGUACACGCAAGACGAAGUGGCAUUUGUACAGAAUUUGGUGUACUAUGUCGAGAGAGCUUAUCGUACACCAGAUUAUGGUAUGUGGGAACGUGGAAGCCGAUAUAACGAUGGGACGCCUGAGAUCCAUGCCAGCUCCAUCGGAAUUGCCAAGAGUGCAUUGGAGGCGAUUAAUGGCUGUAACUUGUUUGGAGAGAAAGGUGCCUCCUGGUCAGUGAUAUAUGUCGAUAUCGAUGCUCACAAUCGUAAUCGCAGUAUCUUUGAGACUAUGCUUCCAAGAGAAUCUAGCUCUAAAAGUGUGGAUGCAGCCUUACUGCCAACAAUAUCCUUUCCCGCCUUUGCAACUCACGAGGAGGUGCUGUACAACGAGACUAAGGCGAACAUAAUCCGUAGGUUGAAAGGCAAUUAUGGCUUUAAACGAUUCGGAAGGGAUGGUUACAAAACGGUGUUGGAAGAUAAACAUCGACGGUAUUACAAAUCUGGAGAAAUCAAGGAUUUUGACAGUGUCGAGAACGAAUGGCCAUUAUUCUACAUCUUCAUGAUAAUAGACGGUGUAUUCAAGAGUCUACCGGAGCAAGUAGAGGAAUAUCAAAAUUUAUUGAAAACCAAAGUGUACAAGGAUCAAAAUGGAGAUCCGGUGAUUCCCAUGUAUUAUUACGUACCGGAAGAGUAUUUGGAAACUGAGAGAAACGAGCCGUGCAGUGUUAAUCGGCUGCCUAGCGACGAAGGGAGAGGCUACAGAGGAGCCGUGGAUCACGAAUCCACGUCGAUGUAUCUGUGGAAUCAGGCUAUGUUUGUAAUCGCGCAGCUACUUACCGCUGGUCUUUUGCAUAUCAACGAAUUGGAUCCGAUCCGUCGAUACCUACCGUCGUAUAAUCGUCCGAGACGUGCGGGACGAUAUUCCGCUUUUCAAGCAAAACCGAGUAUUGGCACUCACACCGACCUAGUGGUACAAAUAGUUUUAAUCGCAGAAUCCAUGCGACUGCAAGCUAUGAUGGCCACGUACGGCAUCCAAACACAAACACCGCACGAAGUCGAGCCUGUUCAGAUUCUAUCGUCUACCCAACUGGUGAAAGUAUACCAAAAACUAGGUGUCAAUAACAAAUUGAAUCUUCAAGGACGACCUGCGCGACCUAUAGGUUCUCUAGGUACAAGCAAGGUGUACAGAGUCUGCGGUAUGACGGUGCUUUGUUACCCUCUUAUUUUCGAAGUCUCCGAGUUUUAUCUGUACAGAGACAUGGCUUUGCUGAUUGAUGAUAUAAAAACGGAGCUGCAAUUCGUAGGCAAGUACUGGCGUCUUUCCGGUCGACCUACUGUGUGUCUUUUAAUACGGGAGGAACACAUGCGAUGUUGGACCUUUUCGCGAUGCUGAAGAAAGGCUACUGCGACAAGACAAAAGUACGCAUCGGCAGACUGCAAAAUCUAAUUUCAUCUUCUUGCAUUGAGCAUUUGGAUUUUGUGAAUACCAUGGAAACGGAUUUGGACCUGGCACAGUUUAAACAGCUGCAGCACGAUUAUAUAGGCUA
RNAcentral lists this unclassified non-coding RNA (2376 nucleotides) under Harpegnathos saltator (Jerdon's jumping ant). Its description in RNAcentral is "probable phosphorylase b kinase regulatory subunit beta, transcript variant X8". Lineage: Eukaryota; Metazoa; Arthropoda; Insecta; Hymenoptera; Formicidae. The record is from RNAcentral.